AUUGAACGCUGGCGGCAGGCUUAACACAUGCAAGUCGAACGAGUGGCGGACGGGUGAGUAAUGUCUGGGAAACUGCCUGAUGGAGGGGGAUAACUACUGGAAACGGUAGCUAAUACCGCAUACCAUCGGAUGUGCCGCGAUGGGAUUAGCUAGUAUGUGGGGUAAAGGCUCACCUAGGAAACGAUCCCUAGCUGGUCUGUGAGGAUGACCAGGCACACGGGAACUGAACCGCGAUAAAGACUCCUACGGAAGGCAGGAGUGGCGAAUAUUGCACAAGGAGCGCAGGCAUGAUGCAGACAUGCCGAGUAUAUGAAGAAGGCAUGCGAGUUGUAAAGUACUUUCAGCGAGUAGGCGUUACCAGAAGAAGAAGCACCGGCUAACUCCGUGCCAGCAGCCGCGGUAAUAC
Molecule: ribosomal RNA, 406 nt
Filed under: uncultured bacterium
Lineage: Bacteria
Description: partial 16S ribosomal RNA
Rfam family: Bacterial small subunit ribosomal RNA
Source: RNAcentral